GCUGGGCUUGGUGGCAAGUGCCUGUAGUCCCAGCUAUUUGGGAGGCUGAGGCUGGAGGAUCUCACUUGAGUCUAGGAGUUCCGGGCUGUAGUGCGCCAAUGCCAGAUGUCCGCGCUAAGUUCAGCAUCAAUAUGGUGACCUCCUGGGAGCCGGGGACCACCAGGUUGCCUAAGGAGGGGUGAACCGGCCCAAGUCGGAAACGGAGCAGGUCAGAACUCCCGUGCUGAUCAGUAGUGGGAUCGCGCCUGUGAAUAGCCACUGCACUCCAGCCUGGGCAACAUAGCGAGACCCCGUCUCU
RNAcentral lists this signal recognition particle RNA (298 nucleotides) under Saimiri boliviensis boliviensis (Bolivian squirrel monkey). RNAcentral's name for it is "Metazoan signal recognition particle RNA (ENSSBOG00000008043.1)". It matches the Rfam family "Metazoan signal recognition particle RNA". Rfam says of the family: The signal recognition particle (SRP) is a universally conserved ribonucleoprotein. It is involved in the co-translational targeting of proteins to membranes. The record is from RNAcentral. Lineage: Eukaryota; Metazoa; Chordata; Mammalia; Primates; Cebidae.